RNAcentral lists this ribosomal RNA (463 nucleotides) under uncultured bacterium. RNAcentral's name for it is "bacterial SSU rRNA". It matches the Rfam family "Bacterial small subunit ribosomal RNA", at positions 917 to 1382 of the family's 1533-position model. The record is from RNAcentral.
GGGCCCGCACAAGCGGUGGAGCAUGUGGUUUAAUUCGAUGAUACGCGAGGAACCUUACCAGGGCUUAAAUGUAGUCUGACAGGCGUGGAAACAUGCUUUUCUUCGGACAGAUUACAAGGUGCUGCAUGGUUGUCGUCAGCUCGUGCCGUGAGGUGUCAGGUUAAGUCCUAUAACGAGCGCAACCCCUGUUGUUAGUUGCCAGCGAGUAAUGUCGGGAACUCUAACAAGACUGCCGGUGCAAACCGUGAGGAAGGUGGGGAUGACGUCAAAUCAUCACGGCCCUUACGUCCUGGGCCACACACGUGCUACAAUGGCCGGUACAGAGAGCAGCCACUUAGCGAUAAGGAGCGAAUCUAUAAAGCCGGUCACAGUUCGGAUUGGAGUCUGCAACUCGACUCUAUGAAGCUGGAAUCGCUAGUAAUCGGAUAUCAGCCAUGAUCCGGUGAAUACGUUCCCGGGCCUU